AGAGUUUGAUUCUGGCUCAGAACGAACGCUGGCGGCGCGUUUUAAGCAUGCAAGUCGAGCGGCAAGGGUCUUCGGGCCCCUAGAGCGGCGGACGGGUGAGUAACACGUGGACAAUCUGCCCCCCGGCCGGGGAUAGCCCAGGGAAACCUGGAUUAAUACCGGAUGAGACGGGACCCGCGGAGGCGGGAUCCGGGAAAGGCGCUGCGGCGCCGCCGGGGGAUGAGUCUGCGUCCCAUUAGCUUGACGGCGGGGUAACGGCCCACCGUGGCGACGAUGGGUAGCCGGCCUGAGAGGGUGGACGGCCACAUUGGAACUGAGACACGGUCCAGACUCCUACGGGAGGCAGCAGCUAAGAAUCCUCCGCAAUGGGCGAAAGCCUGACGGAGCGACGCCGCGUGAACGAAGAAGGCCGUGAGGUUGUAAAGUUCUUUUCGGGAGGGGGAACAACCGUGGCAGGGAAUGGCCGCGGGAUGACGUGAAUCCCGGAAUAAGCCCCGGCUAACUACGUGCCAGCAGCCGCGGUAACACGUAGGGGGCGAGCGUUGUUCGGAAUCAUUGGGCGUAAAGGGCGUGCAGGCGGUCCUGCAAGUCCGGCGUGAAAGACCCCGGCCCAACCGGGGGGGCGCGCUGGAAACUGCAGGGCUUGAGUACAGGAGGGGAUGCCGGAAUUCCAGGUGUAGGGGUGAAAUCUGUAGAUAUCUGGAGGAACACCAAUGGCGAAGGCAAGCAUCUGGCCAUGUACUGACGCUGAGACGCGAAGGUGCGGGGAGCAAACAGGAUUAGAUACCCUGGUAGUC
Molecule: ribosomal RNA, 797 nt
Filed under: uncultured Sphaerochaeta sp.
Lineage: Bacteria; Pseudomonadati; Spirochaetota; Spirochaetia; Spirochaetales; Sphaerochaetaceae
Description: bacterial SSU rRNA
Rfam family: Bacterial small subunit ribosomal RNA
Source: RNAcentral